UGCCAGACUCCUACGGGAGGCAGCAGUGGGGAAUAUUGCACAAUGGGGGAAACCCUGAUGCAGCGACGCCGCGUGGGUGACGAAGUAUUUCGGUAUGUAAAGCCCUAUCAGCAGGGAAGAAGAUGACAGUACCUGACCAAGAAGCCCCGGCUAACUACGUGCCAGCAGCCGCGGUAAUACGUAGGGGGCGAGCGUUAUCCGGAUUCACUGGGCGUAAAGGGAGCGCAGGCGGCACGGCAAGUCCGGUGUGAAAGCCCGGGGCCCAACCCCGGGACUGCACUGGAAACUGCCGGGCUGGAGUGUCGGAGGGGCAGGCGGAAUUCCUAGUGUAGCGGUGAAAUGCGUAGAUAUUAGGAGGAACACCGGUGGCGAAGGCGGCCUGCUGGACGACGACUGACGCUGAGGCUCGAAAGCGUGGGGAGCAAACAGGAUUAGAUACCCGGGUA
RNAcentral lists this ribosomal RNA (446 nucleotides) under uncultured bacterium. RNAcentral's name for it is "bacterial SSU rRNA". It matches the Rfam family "Bacterial small subunit ribosomal RNA", at positions 329 to 792 of the family's 1533-position model. The record is from RNAcentral.